This 5936-nucleotide long non-coding RNA is filed under the name Sus scrofa (pig). Its description in RNAcentral is "lncRNA (ENSSSCG00065068905.1)". Lineage: Eukaryota; Metazoa; Chordata; Mammalia; Artiodactyla; Suidae. The record is from RNAcentral.
AGCUGCAGCUCCCAGCCUACAACACAGCCACAGCAACGCCAGAUUGGAGCCUUUUCUGCGCCCUUCACCACAGCUCAUGGCAACGCUGGAUCCUUAUCCUACUGCAUGAGGCCAGGGAUCAAACCCACGUCCUCAUGGAUACUAGUCAGGUUCAUUACUGCUAUACCACAAUGGGAACUCCUAACUAUAUCUUUUCAUACUUAAAAAAUACGGCUUACAUAAAUUAUAUAAGAAUUAUUUAAUUGUACACUUGAAGUGGUAUCUUAUGUUAAUAUAUUGCUUUUGUUCUCAAAUUAUUGCCUGUUCACAUUUUUUUCAAUUUCUUCAACUGUAUAGUCCAAGGAAAGAUCCCCUCUUUGCUUCUUUAGUAUCUCUGCACCCAUCCUAGUAGGAAAGCAAAAGAAAAACACUAGAAGUUCCACUUAAAUUGGCUGCUUUUGUUUUGGGGGGGGGGUCAAUUCCCUAUAAAUUUUACCCAGAGAAUGAAACAGGAUGACAAUGUCAAUUCUCAACUCCACCCGUGAAAACUCCUCCAUUCUUCCAAGCCGCCUCUUCCCACAGGUUGAUGACUUUCCCCAAAUCCGCAUCUGCUUCCACGUCUCCAGGGUCCUCUGUACAUGAACAUUCACCUGCCGGCUAGACCUCUCCAGAUGUCCCCUAGGGUGUGGAAAGCUCAGCUCAUCAUCUUUCUCCCCAGUGUGGUUGGUCCGGGCACUGAGAGGUGGUCCCAGCACGUAUGCAGCUCAAGUUCAAACCUGUGUCAUCGCAAACUCCUUCCCUCUCCCUUUCUGACCUGAAUCCAUCUCUACGUCCUGUCCACGCUGCUUCUCUUUCUCCUGGUAACUCCUUGUUCUAGCCCCCACAUUGCCUGUCGAGUUCAGAUCCCAAUCAUUUCUCACUUGAGCUACUGCCAUGUCUCCCAGCGGGUCUCGCUGAUUCUGCCCUUGGCUGGCAGGACGUACAUCCACUCUCCAGCAUCCUCUACCUAAACCGAGAGGCGUUCACUUAACUGCGCCUCUUAAACCUUCCAAAGACUCCUCCUCACUCACCCUAAACUCGCACGUGUCAUACUGGCCCUUUAAGAAUCUGGCGCCAGCUUGCCUCGCCCUCUAACCUCUACUGUCCCCUCUUCCUGGUAAGACCCUCUGACUUCUUUUUACCUUAGAAGGUCCUCAAAACUCAUGUCUUUCAGUGCUUUGCAUGGCCCUCGGUCUUGUUAUCAGCAACAUUAGACACCCCUUCGGUGAGCCUGUACAAGUGUCUGGCCCUAAUAGUCAGUCUGGGUGAUCCUGUGGGCAGGGCUUGUAUCUCACAUUUAUAUCUCUAGCUCAUAAUCCCAGACUUCUCACAUGGUAGCCUUCAAUAAAUACCGAAGAAUGGGCAGUUCCUGCUGUGGCUCAGUGGCUUAUGAACCUGAACUAGUAUGCAUGAGGAUGUGGGUUUGAUCCCUGGCCUCUCUCAGUGGGUUAAGGAUCCGAUGUUGCCAUGAGCUGUGGUGUAGGUCGCAGACACGGCUCAGAUCCCGCGUUGCCGUGGCUGUGGUGUAGGCCGGCAGCUGCAGCUCCAAUUUGACCCCUAGCCUGGGAACCUCCAUAUGCCGUGGGUAUGGCCCUAAAAAGAAAAAUAAUAAUAACAAAAUAAAAAUACUUAGGAAUGAAUGACCAUGUGGAGUUUUAUAUAGUUCUAAAGAUCUAUAUAAAAAGAUGAGAGUCAAAGAUCCCAGCUGCUUUGCAAUAAAACUCGUUCCCUAGGGCAAAUUUGUGUUUUUUCCAUUGUCCUCCAAUUCAGUUUUUAAACCGCUUCUCCCAUUCCUGAAGUAACUUCAAUUAUUUUGAGAAUAUCAAAACACCCUUGAAGGUGACAUUUCUAUCCUCUCUUCUCCUUGCUGCAAAAAUGAUUUGGAUCUUCAUCCUCAGAAAAACACAUCCCUCUGUGAUUCAGUUUACCCGAGGGAAGAAGCUCCUGAUGAUGGGAAGCAGCUCCCAGCCUCUCUCCUCCUGCAAUCCACCCUUCACUUUCACCUGGGAAAAGGUCCUGAGACCACUGACCCCUCCUCUGCACUCCCAGGGCCAGGUCUUCACCACGCCUCACUCUUACUAUUUUAACACGCUUCUAACUAGUCUCCCAUUCUUCAGUCUCUCCUUUUAAUAACCUACUCUUUCAGCUGUCUGAGCCGUACCCACCAACCUGAUCAGGUUCCUAUCAUCCUGCCCCAUCCUGCCUCUCUAACCUUACCUCCCUUGGUACACUCUAGAAUCACAACUAUCUGCCAAUCCCUGAUCCCUUCUUAGCAAGCUAUGGUUGGCCGCCUAUUGCCAGUGGUGCUCAUGUUUGUGCCCUGGACUCUAUCCCUUCGUCAGUUUGAAAAAUCCCUACUCAUCCUUUAAGAAGACCCAGUUCAGGAGUUCCCUUCGAGGUGCAGCGGAAAUGAAUCCACCUGGGAACCAUGAGGUUGUGGGUUCAAUCCCAGGCCUUGACCAGUGGGUUAUGGAUCCAGCAUUGCCGUGAGCUGUGGCUCGGAUCCCGCGUUGCUGUGGGUGUGGUGUAGGCCGGUGGCUACAGCUCUGAUUAGACCCCUAGCCUGGGAACCUCCAUAUGCCAUGGGUGCAGCCCCCCCCAAAAAAAAAACAAAAGACAAAAAACAAACAAAAAAAGAAGCCCCAGUUCAAAUAAGCUUCUUUUCUACAAAACCUUUCAACCAGUCCAAUUACAAAUCAUUCCAAUUUUCAGGGUCUCCACAGCAUUUAGCAUAUACACCUGGUAUGGAUAAAAAAAUAUUGGAUCUCUCUCUACUAUAAGAUGGAAACUCCUUUAAAAAAAAAAGCCUAUGAAUUACACAUCUUUGAAUAUUUGCUGCCUAAGAUAAAGCUUAAGACAAAGCAAGUGCUCAAAAAAGAAAAAAGUUAAAUUAAGCUGCCUUCAUCACAUAGCAAAUUUUUGUCAACCGGAGCAAUGUCAUUCAUCCCCACAUUUUUAGGUGCACCCAGCACAGCUCCGAGAUCAAGGUCAACUUGCAGAAUAAAAGAAUGGCCCACUUUUGGGUCGAACAUGCAGAAUAGGUAAAUGAGCUCACAUGAAAUGUUCGGAAAACAUAAAUAAAUAUUUCCAAAACGAUUCAAAUGCUUUCCUCAUGAAGUAUUUCUGGCAUACAAAGCCUAGAGGGUCCUAUUGACCAGGACAUAGUUGCAGUUCUACUGUGAGAUGAGAACUGAAAUUAAGAAGAUUUGCUUAGAAACUUUUACAGCAAGUUGACAAGGCUGACACAUCCAUAAAUACCAUCCAUGGGCUUGUCUGAAGGUGCUGGCUUAAGGCAUUGAGGUAUUGGCUGGGUCGUAUUGAAUGGACGUGGUACGUGGCACGAGCAGCAAGAGCUGCAGGCCAUUUACGGCUCAACAGGUCUGCAUAUCAGUUCGAGAUAGACUGUAAGUGAGAAGAAACAAGUCUUUCACUAGAGACAGUUUGAAAGACACCAGCAAAGAGAAUACUCUACUAACCUCCCAUGUACCACAACCAAUUUCUUCAUAUUCACCUUCCAUAUCUGCUUGAAAACUUUUCCCUAUGACAUAAAAUAUUACAGAUACAUUGAAGCCACCUCUAUGUCCUUCCUGAAUCCUUGUGUCCUCAUUUCCUCUACAGAAACAGCCUCCAAUAAGUUUUUUUUUUUUGGUCUUUUUGCCUUUUCUAGAGCUGCUUCCCACGACACACGGAGGUGCAGCCCUAAAAGAGACAAAAAGACAAAAAGAAAAAACAGAAAAACAGGGAUCAAGGUUAUUUUGAAGACUUCUGCCUAUUUAAUAUCAUCGUAUGUGAAACAUGCAUUGUGUCCCCUUAUGUGUGAUUCUUCAGCUACUGAAAGACUUGAACUCCAAGUCAAGGGAAUCGUCUCCUACCUCAAUCUUUAGAGAAAGACCUUAAAAAGCCCAUACCUUGCAAAGAAAGAUGAAAGCAUGUGUGGCAGGAGUGGAGCAAAAUGGUCCCACUGAUUUCCACUGAUAUAACGGGCUUUCUGAGAACUGGGCUGAUGCGACUUGACUAUAAAAGACGCCUAUUUCAAUGGAACAGGUCAACUUGGAGAAGACACAGGAAAGAGAAGAGACGCCUGACAUGACAGACAGAAAACACGGGCUUGCUACAGUUAAUCAAAUGGGCCCUGCCUGCAAAGCCAACAUGUCUCCUGAAAUCCAAACCUUUGAUUUUUGCAUGGCUGCCAGCUCAUUUCCAAAGCAUCCACUGCUAAUCAAACUUGUUUGGCUGCUUCCUUAUCGAAACUUUACAAAACUUUAAUUUCAGCCUCAUGAGCCCUGCAGCUGUAAAUUAAUUGAAUAAAAUUUACAAAUAUUAUGCAGUGAGAUAAUGCACUUUCAAAGUCUUUUCCCUAUUCAGUUGACGUAGCGCCCAGCACGCCAGUUUUGCUUGACGUGAGUUCAGAGCCCCCUGGAAACCUUCCUAAUCCUACUCUCUAGGCCUUGUGCCUAUUCGUGGAACCAUGUUAACCCAUAUCUGGAAAAUUAAUAAACCUCAGAUGGGUUGAAGCACUCAGAAAUAUCCCUGAUACUUCUUGCCAUUCAUUAUAUUUAGGUAUCCUUUGCAGUGGCAGAAUCCUUCUCCAAAGACCACCACAGCAGCAGAUAAAAUCCCUGAAGUUAUCAGCAUGCAACAAAAUAUCUCAUUUAAGAUUUCUGUCAUCUAAAGCCGAAGCCAGGAAUUAAACGUACUGAAGGUGAAAUCGCUUACGCUUUGGUUUAAUACAGAUAUUCCCCAAAACUGUUUGCUGAACUCAUCUACUUCACAACGACAGUGCAAAAAUUAUCAUGAUUUUUUAAAGCAGCAAAAGGAGUAAAACUGACUGUUCCGACGUAUGCCAACAGGCGAGCAGCUCAUCAGUGGUUGCUCGGUUCCACAUCACACUGACAGAGAGAAGACAAAAGACUAUUCAUUUCUCAAAAUAUACUCAGGUGCCAUCAUUCAUUUAUGAUUUCCAUGGUUACCAAGGAAGAAGUUGAAAUGUCCCUCUCUGGUUGAUUAUCGCAGCACAACUGUCACCCUUUCCGACCUGGGUGGGCUUUCGUUUCCAACAAUUUUAUCAGCAUCUGGAAGCCUUCUAGCCCAUCUGGAGCUGCACAGACAGACGCUUAUCUCAGAAGCUUCCCCCUUAAGCCAGAAGAUGUUGCUUUGAAGGAACUUCCCUGUCCCCCACACCUGUGGCAUGAGGAAGUCCCCAGGCCAGGGAUCGAACCUGUGCCAUAGCAGUGAGCCAAGCAGUUGCCGUGGCAAUGCCGGAUCUUUAACCCGCUCAGCCACAAGAGAACUCCUGAAAUAACUUCUGAUAUUGCCUGCUAAGGGAGUUUUAUAGAUUUCUUAAGCUCUCAGAAACAUGGUUCUGAAAGUAAAGUGAGGGUAAAAACAGUACUCAAGGAGGGUUGGUGUGAACGUAAAAUAAGACAAAGCAAGGCAACAGCCGGGCAUAAAACAGCUCUCUGUGAGAAAAUUGCAAAAUGUAAGCAUUGCCAUUUUUCCCUUCUUUAGAAAACAAACCAAAAAUAAAGCCAAUUUAUCUCACUGCUGACUGGUCUUUGAAAAUAGGGUCUUGAUAAACAACAAGUUCUUACUGGGUGACACAGGGAACUAUAUUCGCUAUCCUGUGAUAAAGCCUAAUGGAAAAGAAUAUAAAAAAAUAUACAUAUACAUGUAUAAUGAGGUCACUUUGUAGAACAAGUCACGCGUCGGAAAUCAACGCAACUUCAAUACAUUUUUUUUUUAAUGCAGCCUCAUACAGAACCAAGGAAGUUCACAAAUUCUUCUUAAAAUGAAUCCCAGAAAAGAAAAAUAUCAUGUGUUCCGGGGCAAUAAAAGUGGUACCUCUGCCUCUGCCCUUCCGAGCAAGAACUGGAUGGACUCUGCCUUGCAAUAACUACUCAUGACUUCCCUCAAGAAUU